RNAcentral lists this ribosomal RNA (250 nucleotides) under uncultured Caryophanaceae bacterium. RNAcentral describes it as "uncultured Planococcaceae bacterium partial 16S ribosomal RNA". It matches the Rfam family "Bacterial small subunit ribosomal RNA", at positions 524 to 773 of the family's 1533-position model. The record is from RNAcentral. Lineage: Bacteria; Bacillati; Bacillota; Bacilli; Caryophanales; Caryophanaceae.
UACGUAGGUGGCAAGCGUUAUCCGGAAUUAUUGGGCGUAAAGCGCGCGCAGGUGGUUUCUUAAGUCUGAUGUGAAAGCCCACGGCUCAACCGUGGAGGGUCAUUGGAAACUGGGAGACUUGAGUGCAGAAGAGGAAAGUGGAAUUCCAUGUGUAGCGGUGAAAUGCGUAGAGAUAUGGAGGAACACCAGUGGCGAAGGCGACUUUCUGGUCUGUAACUGACACUGAAGCGCGAAAGCGUGGGGAGCAAAC